UACGUAGGUGGCAAGCGUUGUCCGGAUUUACUGGGCGUAAAGCGUGCGCAGGCGGUUUUGUAAGCCCGAUGUGAAAUCCCCGGGCUUAACCUGGGAAUGGCAUUUGGGACUGCAAGGCUCGAGUGCGGCAGAGGAGACUGGAAUUCCUGGUGUAGCAGUGAAAUGCGUAGAUAUCAGGAGGAACACCGAUGGCGAAGGCAGGUCUCUGGGCUGACACUGACGCUCAUGCACGAAAGCGUGGGGAGCAAACAGG
RNAcentral lists this ribosomal RNA (253 nucleotides) under uncultured bacterium. Its description in RNAcentral is "partial 16S ribosomal RNA". It matches the Rfam family "Bacterial small subunit ribosomal RNA", at positions 524 to 776 of the family's 1533-position model. The record is from RNAcentral.